UCUCCGUUGGUGAACCAGCGGAGGGAUCAUUACAGAGUUGCAAAACUCCCAAACCAUUGUGAACGUUACCUAUCCCAUCGCUGCUGCGGCCGGCCCGGGCCCCCCGCACGGCGCCCCCCGACCCCCCGUGGGGGCCCGCCGGCGGUAAACCAAACCCUUGGAUUGCAUGGCCUCUCCGAGUCUUCUGUACUGAAUAAGUCAAAACUUUCAACAACGGAUCUCCUGGUUCUG
RNAcentral lists this unclassified non-coding RNA (231 nucleotides) under plant metagenome. RNAcentral's name for it is "partial contains small subunit ribosomal RNA, internal transcribed spacer 1, and 5.8S ribosomal RNA". The record is from RNAcentral.